Molecule: long non-coding RNA, 877 nt
Filed under: Zea mays
Lineage: Eukaryota; Viridiplantae; Streptophyta; Magnoliopsida; Poales; Poaceae
Description: long non-coding RNA NONZMAT003037
Source: RNAcentral
AUCUCAUCCAAGCACCACCACUGUAGAUCAUCAGGGCGUUUUGUCACGCUCGCCGGAAUCACGUGGGCCACCGCGGACCUGUGGGCGAGGAUUGGAUUUGCUGUUGUCAAUCCACGCUCGUGCCGCCGUCGGAUUCUCGGGGCCGGGACUGGGAGCUUCGUCGUAUUCCCCUGAUGGUGCUAGUGGCCACCUCAUGCGUGGCGUGACUGGGGGGCGCGACGAAUUGCUCGCCGAUGAGAAGGCCGCCAGGAAGCCACUGGGUCGCGUAGACCGGACAGUCCCGUUGCUCGAUCUAAGGUGAAAACUUAUCCAAGCUGUUGGUCAUGCCCGUCUCCCCCUAUCGCUCUAUUCGGAUCGAAUUUUGGAGCACCAUGGUCGUGGCGUGCUACUCCGGCGGGGGCGCCGUCGCCCUGAGCAACUGCUGCAUCGGGGUCACGGCUAGGGAAAGAAGACGAUGCGCGGGCCGUCUGAUUGUUGUUGGGCGGUGGUGAUUAGAUCACAUAGUAAUAGAACCCGAGCCUUCAGAUUGAAAUCAUGCAGUAGUUAUUAAAUCAGGCGCAUACCGAUUCAGGAUCGGAUCCAAGCCAUCGAUCGUCUAAUCAGCGGCUCCGGUGAACUCAACCACUCAGUUCUGCGCUCAUCUUACAAACAAGCCCCUGGGUUUCACCGAAAUGAACCCGCCGUCCUGGUGAGAGUAGGGGAAAUUCAGUUUUGGUCCUAAAAGUUACAUGCUACACCCUGUAGUUUUUCAAAAUAUUAGCAGUAGUCCGCUGAUUGCUGUUAUUUGAUAAAAUUAAUCCAAAAAUGACUUCUAGUGUAUAAAUAAUUCCAGAACCUUGUAAAAUUCAUAAUUAAUUCAUUUUAACUUCUUUUUGGU